Molecule: ribosomal RNA, 244 nt
Filed under: uncultured bacterium
Lineage: Bacteria
Description: partial 16S ribosomal RNA
Rfam family: Bacterial small subunit ribosomal RNA
Source: RNAcentral
GAUCCUGGCUCAGGACGAACGCUGGCGGCGUGCUUAACACAUGCAAGUCGAACGGAGCACCCCUGAAUGAGGUUUCGGCCAAAGGAAGGGAAUGCUUAGUGGCGGACUGGUGAGUAACGCGUGAGGAACCUGCCUUUCAGAGGGGGACAACAGUUGGAACGACUGCUAAUACCGCAUGACACAUGAAGUGGGGCAUCCCUAUUGAUGUACAAAGUAUUUAUCGCUAGAAAGAGUGGCCUCGCCG